This 253-nucleotide ribosomal RNA is filed under the name uncultured bacterium. RNAcentral's name for it is "partial 16S ribosomal RNA". It matches the Rfam family "Bacterial small subunit ribosomal RNA", at positions 524 to 776 of the family's 1533-position model. The record is from RNAcentral.
UACGUAGGGGGCAAGCGUUGUCCGGAUUUACUGGGCGUAAGGAGCGCGCAGGCGGUCGUAUAAGUCGAAUGUGAAAGCCCCCGGCUCAACUGGGGAGGGUCAUUCGAUACUGUUCGACUCGAAGGCAGGAGAGGGAAGUGGAAUUCCGGGUGUAGUGGUGAAAUGCGUAGAUAUCCGGAGGAACACCAGUGGCGAAGGCGACUUUCUGGCCUGUUCUUGACGCUGAGGCGCGAAAGCUAGGGGAGCAAACGGG